GACGAAGGUGGCGAGCGUUGUUCGGAAUCACUGGGCAUAAAGCGCGCGUAGGCGGCUAUGUAAGUCAGGUGUGAAAGCCCUCGGCUCAACCGAGGAACUGCGCCUGAUACUGCAUGGCUUGAGGUCCGGAGGGGAGAGUGGAAUUCCCGGUGGAGUGGUGAAAUGCGUAGAGAUCGGGAGGAACACCGGUGGCGAAGGCGGGUCUCUGGGCCGAUACUGACGCUGAGACGCGAAAGCGUGGGGAGCGAACAGG
RNAcentral lists this ribosomal RNA (253 nucleotides) under uncultured bacterium. Its description in RNAcentral is "partial 16S ribosomal RNA". It matches the Rfam family "Bacterial small subunit ribosomal RNA", at positions 524 to 776 of the family's 1533-position model. The record is from RNAcentral.